CUCACAUGUUUCCUCACCUGUAAAAAUACAAUAAUUGGUCAUUGAAAGAAAAAUAUAAACUUAAUAUUGUUUUUUUUUAUAACAUAUCAAUCUAUUAGUUCACUUGUUUCCGUGUCUGCCCUUUCAUUUAUGUAACUCAAGAAAAAAUUCCAAUAAAUGGGUAACAAUUGUAUCGAAAAGAGAAAAUCGAGUGCACCUUUUUUUAUGUU
This 209-nucleotide long non-coding RNA is filed under the name Mytilus galloprovincialis (Mediterranean mussel). The record is from RNAcentral. Lineage: Eukaryota; Metazoa; Mollusca; Bivalvia; Mytilida; Mytilidae.